This 248-nucleotide ribosomal RNA is filed under the name uncultured bacterium. RNAcentral's name for it is "partial 16S ribosomal RNA". It matches the Rfam family "Bacterial small subunit ribosomal RNA", at positions 524 to 770 of the family's 1533-position model. The record is from RNAcentral.
UACAGAGGUCCCAAGCGUUGUUCGGAUUCACUGGGCGUAAAGGGUGCGUAGGUGGUGAGGUAAGUCGGAUGUGAAAUCUCCGGGCUCAACCCGGAAAUGGCAUUGGAAACUACCUUGCUUGAGGGUUUGAGGGGGGGGAUUGGAAUACUUGGUGUAGCAGUGAAUGCGUAGAUAUCAAGUGGAACACCAGUGGCGAAGGCGAAUCCCUGGAAAAUACCUGACACUGAGGCACGAAAGCUAGGGGAGCA